This 521-nucleotide ribosomal RNA is filed under the name uncultured bacterium. Its description in RNAcentral is "bacterial SSU rRNA". It matches the Rfam family "Bacterial small subunit ribosomal RNA", at positions 28 to 529 of the family's 1533-position model. The record is from RNAcentral.
GACGAACGCUGGCGGCGUGCCUAACACAUGCAAGUCGAACGGUCCGGCACUCAACCGACCCUCAGUCUAGCUGUAGGUGAGGUUAAGUGCCGGAUAGUGGCGGACGGGUGAGUAACGCGUGGGCAACCAACCCUGUACAGUGGGAUAACACCGGGAAACCGGUGCUAAUACCGCAUGACACCUAGAUGGUGCAUACUGUUUAGGUUAAAGGGCAAAACCGGUACGGGACGGGCCCGCGUCCCAUUAGCUGGUUGGUGAGGUAACGGCUCACCAAGGCGACGAUGGGUAGCCGACCUGAGAGGGUGACCGGCCACACUGGGACUGAGACACGGCCCAGACUCCUACGGGAGGCAGCAGUGGGGAAUAUUGCGCAAUGGACGGAAGUCUGACGCAGCGACGCCGCGUGAGCGACGAAGGCCUUCGGGUCGUAAAGCUCUGUUCUUGGGGACGAAGGAAAUGACGGUACCCAAGGAGAAAGCCCCGGCUAACUACGUGCCAGCAGCCGCGGUAACAUACUCGUA